Long non-coding RNA from Alnus glutinosa, 876 nucleotides. RefSeq lists it as uncharacterized. The transcript is spliced from 3 exons. The record is from RefSeq and is a predicted model, not a curated record. Lineage: Eukaryota; Viridiplantae; Streptophyta; Magnoliopsida; Fagales; Betulaceae.
UGGUCACACAGGGGAGGCGCCGAUGGAAGUUGAAACUGAGAAGAGGGAAAGGGAGAUUGGAGCUAUCGGGAGUUGUAGGAAUGGGAUAUUUGGGAUGAACGAAAGUGAAAUAAAAUUCUUAGAUUUACAACAUUAAUUCUUCCCAAAAUCACCCAAUCCUGUGAUUUCCGGCUGUUCCUCCCUUUCCCUUCCAUCUCUACACAUUUUACCCGAUCUGGGUUCUCUUCUCCUGCCUUGAUUUGUUUCCAGGAGGAGGAGCUAUGAUAGCUUGCAAGUUAGCAGCAAUGGUACUUGAAACUUGAAAGAGUUCUCUCAUUAGCUUUACUUAACGUAACAGGUGGAGGUUUUGAGUGUUUUCCAAAGAAAUUGAAGUUGUUGUAAAGUCCUACCAUCAGUAUUUCAUGGGAAAGCAGACAUUAAUCAUCCUUGUCCUGGAUUGAGGAACACCAAAAUCAUAACAUAGCGUAAUUUUUAUCUCUUGGACUAAUACAAAUUUCAGCAGAAAGUGGUACGACUGUAUAAACUACAAGGUAAUUUUUCAAAUUAAUUUUGCGUCUGUUAUUUUUUGUUUGGUAGUUUAUGAUAUUUCAGACUAUGUUUUUCAUGUAGAAAGUUGGUGAUUGUGACUUCUUUGGACAGGCUGAUAAUUGAAACAAAAUUUAAGGAGAAUAUGAAUCAAACUAAUCAAUUUCAGCUCAAGUUAGAAAAUCGAGAAAAUAUGUAUCAGGUUGCCUUAGUUUUUAUCAUUUUGAUUUUAUUAUUUUAUGUCAAUGGUUAUAUUGGAUUUAGUGGUAGCGGCAAGUUGAUGUUAAAAUGAAUUUGUAGUAUUUGUGUAUUUGAAUCUCAUUGGGAAAAUGAUAAUGUUGAAACAAAGUC